Molecule: ribosomal RNA, 247 nt
Filed under: uncultured bacterium
Lineage: Bacteria
Description: partial 16S ribosomal RNA
Rfam family: Bacterial small subunit ribosomal RNA
Source: RNAcentral
AUACGUAGGUGGCAAGCGUUGUCCGGAUUUAUUGGGCGUAAAGCGAGCGCAGGCGGUCUUUUAAGUCUGAUGUGAAAGCCUUCGGCUUAACCGAAGAAGGGCAUCAGAAACUGGGAGACUUGAGUGCAGAAGAGGAGAGUGGAACUCCAUGUGUAGCGGUGAAAUGCGUAGAUAUAUGGAAGAACACCAGUGGCGAAGGCGGCUGUCUGGUCUGUAACUGACGCUGAGGCUCGAAAGUAUGGGUAGC